GACGAACGCUGGCGGCGUGCUUAACACAUGCAAGUCGAACGGGCCUUGUCCCCUUUUUUUUUGGGGGUGGGGUUAGUGGCGAACGGGUGAGUAACACGUGAGUAACCUGCCCCUCACUUCUGGAUAACCGCUUGAAAGGGUGGCUAAUACGGGGUGUUCUGGCCUGCUCGCAUGGGUGGGUUUGGAAAGAUUCGACCGGUUUUGGUUGUUUUGGUGGGGGAUGGGCUCGCGGCCUAUCAGCUUGUUGGUGGGGUGACGGCCUGCCAAGGCUUUGACGGGUAGCCGGCCUGAGAGGGUGGGCGGUCACACUGGGACUGAGACACGGCCCAGACUCCUACGGGAGGCAGCAGUGGGGAAUAUUGCACAAUGGGCGCAAGCCUGAUGCAGCGACGCCGCGUGAGGGAUGGAGGCCUUCGGGUUGUGAACCUCUUUCGCCAGUGAAGAAGGUCCUGCUCUUUGUGGUGGGGUUGACGGUAGCUGGGGUAAUGAAGCGCCGGCUAACUACGUG
This 508-nucleotide ribosomal RNA is filed under the name uncultured bacterium. RNAcentral's name for it is "partial 16S ribosomal RNA". It matches the Rfam family "Bacterial small subunit ribosomal RNA", at positions 28 to 507 of the family's 1533-position model. The record is from RNAcentral.